RNAcentral lists this ribosomal RNA (1204 nucleotides) under Ascomycota sp. L370. Its description in RNAcentral is "eukaryotic LSU rRNA". The stretch from base 552 to 1204 matches the Rfam family "Eukaryotic large subunit ribosomal RNA", at positions 1 to 617 of the family's 3401-position model. The record is from RNAcentral. Lineage: Eukaryota; Fungi; Ascomycota.
UUUUGAGGAAUAAAUUUUUACGAAGUUUCGUUAGGGAACCCUGCGGAAGGAUCAUUACCAAUAUUAUGGGAAACCAUAAAACCCGGUGCUUAGUCGCCUAGUUGCCUCGGCGGGAGGGCCGACGCGGUCCCCCGCCAGAGAAGAAAGUACAACCCUACUUAUCGGUGCUGUCCGAACGAAGUACCUAAACGAGUUAAAACUUUCAACAAUGGAUCUUCUUGGUUCUGGCAUCGAUGAAAGAACGCAGCGAAAUGCGAUAAGUAAUGUGAAUUGCAGAAAUUCAGUGAAUUCAUCGAAUCUUUGAACGCACAUUGCGCCCCCUGGUAUUUCCGGAAGGGCACACCUGUUCGAGCGUCAUUAUCAAACAAUCAAGCUGUGCUUGGUAAUUGGGGAUCGCCCCGCGGGCUGCGGCCUCGGGGCGCCUCCGAAAGCGAUGGGCGUGGCGUGCACCCGGCUUUCGAAGCGUGAUAGCGGUUCUUGACAAAUCCGAUCGCUCUGGAAGUCCGGCCGUCCCUGCCUCCGGUGCGUGGCACCGACAACCUCUCCACAGUUGACCUCGGAUCAGGUGGGGUUACCCGCUGAACUUAAGCAUAUCAAUAAGCGGAGGAAAAGAAACCAACAGGGAUUGCCUCAGUAACGGCGAGCGAAGCGGCAAGAGCUCAGAUUUGAAAUCCGGCCUUCGGGUUCAGAGUUGUAAUCUGUAGGGGAUGCUUCGGGACCGUCGCCGGCCUAAGUUCCUUGGAACAGGACGUCGCAGAGGGUGAGAAUCCCGUAUGCGGCCGGAUCGACCAACCGUGUGAAGCUCCUCCGACGAGUCGAGUUGUUUUGGGAAUGCAGCUUCUAAAUGGGAGGUAAAUUUUCUUCUAAAGCUAAAAUACUGGGCCAGAGAACCGAUAGCGCACAAGUAGAGUGAUCGAAAGAUGAAAAGCACUUUUGGAAAGAGAGUUAAAAAAGUACGUGAAAUUGUGUGAAAAGGGAAGCGCUUGCGACCAGAUCUCGACCGUUGGCGGAUCACCCCCUUCCCCGCGGAAGGGCUCACUCCGCCCUCGGUCGGGCCAGCAUCCGGUUCCGGGCGGUCGGAUAAAGGCUUCCGGGAAUGUGGCUCCUCUUAAGGGGAAGUUAUAGCCCGUCGCGCAAUACGGCCGCCGGGACCGAAGACCCGCCUCCGCAAGAUCGCUAGCUUAAGUAACGCCCUUUUUUAAAA